RNAcentral lists this long non-coding RNA (268 nucleotides) under Lathyrus oleraceus (garden pea). RNAcentral's name for it is "Pisum sativum (pea) long non-coding RNA (PSAT_LNC040394)". Lineage: Eukaryota; Viridiplantae; Streptophyta; Magnoliopsida; Fabales; Fabaceae. The record is from RNAcentral.
AGACUACCAUUCCAUUAACUAAAUUUGAGCCUUUAUCCAAUUAUUUGCCCUCUUAUUUGGUUCUAUUUCAACAAACGUUUUACAUGUUUUAAUUGAAAAAAAUAUAUCAUUGUUUUAUUCAAAUCUUUCAUAAAUUGUUUUUAAACAAAGUGAACAUUCACAGAGAUGAGGGGAUAUUGAGGAUGUCUUCAGUGCUCUCCCAAGGAUGGUAAGAUUCUCGACAGGGUGAGACAUUUGUUCGUAUUCCUGGCAUGCUUGUAUCCUUUUU